This 67-nucleotide transfer RNA is filed under the name Acropyga butteli. RNAcentral's name for it is "tRNA-Glu". The record is from RNAcentral. Lineage: Eukaryota; Metazoa; Arthropoda; Insecta; Hymenoptera; Formicidae.
AUUUAUAUAGUUUAAAAAAAACAUUAUAUUUUCAUUAUAAAAAAAAUAAUUAAUUUAUUUAUAAAUU